Long non-coding RNA from Amphimedon queenslandica, 377 nucleotides. RefSeq lists it as uncharacterized. The record is from RefSeq and is a predicted model, not a curated record. NCBI's taxonomy places the organism in Eukaryota, Metazoa, Porifera, Demospongiae, Haplosclerida, Niphatidae. The transcript is spliced from 4 exons.
ACAGGUAUUAUAUGAUUUAUCGAGUAAGACUGUAUUAGAGGCAGAGACUGUUUCAUAUAUUACAAAGGAUUUAUUGGAGCAGUUCUGUACUAGUAAUAAAAGUGGUAAAAAGUCAGCUGCUAUGAAAUAUCCUUUUUUAACUGAAGUAGUACAAGCAUUGACUAACAAGUAUCCUAGUGUAAUGGAUGCUGUUUUUGCUGAGGAGAAGAAAGGAGACAGGAAGAAAAUGAUAGAAAACAUUGUCAGUUUAUUUUUGCCUGGAACUUACCAUGAAGUACUCUGGAAGGUUCUAAACGGGUUCUUCCGCUUGAGAUGAAAGGAGCCGCCAUGACGAAUUGUGUGCGUCACUCCGAUGAAUAUCAUUUGCAUCUCAUUAC